AGAGUUUGAUCCUGGCUCAGAUUGAACGCUGGCGGCAUGCCUUACACAUGCAAGUCGAACGGUAACGCGGGGGCAACCCUGGCGACGAGUGGCGAACGGGUGAGUAAUACAUCGGAACAUAUCCAGUAGCGGGGGAUAACCUAUCGAAAGAUGGACUAAUACCGCAUACGAUCUACGGAUGAAAGCAGGGGACCGCAAGGCCUUGCACUAUUGGAGUGGCCGAUGUCGGAUUAGCUAGUUGGUGGGGUAAAAGCUUACCAAGGCGACGAUCCGUAGCUGGUCUGAGAGGACGAUCAGCCACACUGGAACUGAGACACGGUCCAGACUCCUACGGGAGGCAGCAGUGGGGAAUUUUGGACAAUGGGCGCAAGCCUGAUCCAGCCAUGCCGCGUGAGUGAAGAAGGCCUUCGGGUUGUAAAGCUCUUUCGGUGAAGACGAAACGUUUCAUGCUAAUAACGUGAACUAAUGACGGUACUCACAGAAGAAGCACCGGCUAACUACGUGCCAGCAGCCGCGGUAAUACGUAGGGUGCAGGCGUUAAUCGGAAUUACUGGGCGUAAAGCGUGCGCAGGCGGUUUGCUAAGACAGGUGUGAAAUCCCCGGGCUUAACCUGGGAAUUGCGCUUGUAACUGGCAAGCUAGAGUGUGGCAGAGGGGGGUGGAAUUCCACGUGUAGCAGUGAAAUGCGUAGAUAUGUGGAGGAACACCGAUGGCGAAGGCAGCCCCCUGGGUUAACACUGACGCUCAUGCACGAAAGCGUGGGGAGCAAACAGGAUUAGAUACCCUGGUAGUCCACGCCCUAAACUAUGUCAACUAGUUGUCGGGGAAGAAAUUCCUUGGUAACGAAGCUAACGCGUGAAGUUGACCGCCUGGGGAGUACGGCCGCAAGGUUAAAACUCAAAGGAAUUGACGGGGACCCGCACAAGCGGUGGAUUAUGAGGAUUAAUUCGAUGCAACGCGAAAAACCUUACCUACCCUUGACAUGCUAGGAAGCCCGCAGAGAUGUGGGUGUGCCCGAAAGGGAACCUAGACACAGGUGCUGCAUGGCUGUCGUCAGCUCGUGUCGUGAGAUGUUGGGUUAAUCCCGCAACGAGCGCAACCCUUGCCAUUAGUUGCUACAUUCAGUUGGGCACUCUAAUGGGACCGCCGGUGACAAACCGGAGGAAGGUGGGGAUGACGUCAAGUCCUCAUGGCCCUUAUGGGUAGGGCUUCACACGUAAUACAAUGGUCGGUACAGAGGGCUGCCAACCCGCAAGGGGGAGCUAAUCCCAGAAAGCCGAUCGUAGUCCGGAUUGUAGUCUGCAACUCGACUGCAUGAAGCCGGAAUCGCUAGUAAUCGCGGAUCAGCAUGUCGCGGUGAAUACGUUCCCGGGUCUUGUACACACCGCCCGUCACACCAUGGGAGUGGGUUCCACCAGAAGUAGUUAGCCUAACCGCAAGGAGGGCGAUUACCACGGUGAGAUUCAUGACUGGGGUGAAGUCGUAACAAGGUA
This 1492-nucleotide ribosomal RNA is filed under the name metagenome. RNAcentral's name for it is "bacterial SSU rRNA". It matches the Rfam family "Bacterial small subunit ribosomal RNA". The record is from RNAcentral.